AAGUAUAAUUAAUUACAAUAGAAAAAUACAGUUUGAUUUAAACUCACAUGUUGAAAAAAGUAGAGUACCAAUGAAUAUCAAAGCUGCUUU
Non-coding RNA from Brassica napus (rape), 90 nucleotides. The record is from Rfam. Lineage: Eukaryota; Viridiplantae; Streptophyta; Magnoliopsida; Brassicales; Brassicaceae.